CCAUGUCUACUAAAAAUACAAAAAUUAACCAAGAAUGGUAGCACACUUCUGUAAUCCCAGCUACUCGGGAGGCUGAGGCAGGAGAAUUGCUUGAACCAGGA
Molecule: long non-coding RNA, 101 nt
Organism: Sapajus apella (tufted capuchin)
Lineage: Eukaryota; Metazoa; Chordata; Mammalia; Primates; Cebidae
Exons: 3
Source: RefSeq, a predicted model, not a curated record